GAUGAAGAACGUAUCGAAAUGCGAUAAGUAGUGUGAAUUGCAGAAUUCAGUGAAUCAUCGAAUCUUUGAACGCACAUUGCGCCUCCUGGUAUUCCGGGAGGCAUGCCUGUUCGAGCGUCAUUAAAAUCACUCAAGCUUAGGUUUACCUAUUGCUUGGUCUUGGAGAUGGAAGCCAAUUCAUUGGAAUCCUCUUCGAAAUCCAAUGGCGAAGACCCUUGCUCUCCCAAGUGUAGUAAUAACUUAUGUCACUGAAGGAAGCGAGAAAUCUUCCGCCGUAACCCCCAUAUUUUCUAUGAUUGACCUCGGAUCAGGUAGGGAUACCCGCUGAACUUAAGCAUAUCAAUAAGCGGAGGA
RNAcentral lists this unclassified non-coding RNA (354 nucleotides) under soil metagenome. RNAcentral describes it as "partial contains 5.8S ribosomal RNA, internal transcribed spacer 2, and large subunit ribosomal RNA". The stretch from base 1 to 120 matches the Rfam family "5.8S ribosomal RNA", at positions 35 to 154 of the family's 154-position model. The record is from RNAcentral.